ACUCAAAGGAAUAGACGGGGACCCGCACAAGCGGUGGAUUAUGUGGAUUAAUUCGAUGCAACGCGAAAAACCUUACCUACCCUUGACAUGUCCUGAAGCCUGGAGAGAUCCGGGUGUGCCCGAAAGGGAACGGGAACACAGGUGCUGCAUGGCUGUCGUCAGCUCGUGUCGUGAGAUGUUGGGUUAAGUCCCGCAACGAGCGCAACCCUUGCCAUUAGUUGCUACAUUCAGUUGGGCACUCUAAUGGGACUGCCGGUGACAAACCGGAGGAAGGUGGGGAUGACGUCAAGUCCUCAUGGCCCUUAUGGGUAGGGCUUCACACGUAAUACAAUGGUCGGUACAGAGGGUUGCCAAAGCGCGAGCUGGAGCCAAUCCCAGAAAGCCGAUCGUAGUCCGGAUUGCAGUCUGCAACUCGACUGCAUGAAGUCGGAAUCGCUAGUAAUCGCGGAUCAGCAUGUCGCGGUGAAUACGUUCCCGGGUCUUGUACACACCGCCCGU
This 498-nucleotide ribosomal RNA is filed under the name uncultured bacterium. RNAcentral's name for it is "bacterial SSU rRNA". It matches the Rfam family "Bacterial small subunit ribosomal RNA", at positions 899 to 1397 of the family's 1533-position model. The record is from RNAcentral.